RNAcentral lists this ribosomal RNA (590 nucleotides) under uncultured bacterium. Its description in RNAcentral is "bacterial SSU rRNA". It matches the Rfam family "Bacterial small subunit ribosomal RNA", at positions 216 to 803 of the family's 1533-position model. The record is from RNAcentral.
UGGUUAAAGAUGGGCAUGCGUUGUAUUAGCUAGUUGGUGAGGUAACGGCUCACCAAGGCAACGAUACAUAGGGGGACUGAGAGGUUAACCCCCCACAUUGGUACUGAGACACGGACCAAACUCCUACGGGAGGCAGCAGUGAGGAGUAUUGGUCAAUGGACGCAAGUCUGAACCAGCCAUGCCGCGUGCAGGAAGACGGCUCUAUGAGUUGUAGACUGCUUUUGUACUAGGGUAAACGCUUCUACGUGUAGGAGCCUGAAAGUAUAGUACGAAUAAGGAUCGGCUAACUCCGUGCCAGCAGCCGCGGUAAUACGGAGGAUCCAAGCGUUAUCCGGAUUUAUUGGGUUUAAAGGGUGCGUAGGCGGUUUGAUAAGUUAGAGGUGAAAUACCGGGGCUCAACUCCGGAACUGCCUCUAAUACUGUUGAACUAGAGAGUAGUUGCGGUAGGCGGAAUGUAUGGUGUAGCGGUGAAAUGCUUAGAGAUCAUACAGAACACCGAUUGCGAAGGCAGCUUACCAAACUAUAUCUGACGUUGAGGCACGAAAGCGUGGGGAGCAAACAGGAUUAGAUACCCUGGUAGUCCACGCAGU